Molecule: ribosomal RNA, 245 nt
Filed under: uncultured bacterium
Lineage: Bacteria
Description: partial 16S ribosomal RNA
Rfam family: Bacterial small subunit ribosomal RNA
Source: RNAcentral
GAGGAUGCGAGCGUUAUCCGGAUUUAUUGGGUGUAAAGGGAGUGUAGGCGGGACGGCAAGUUAGGUGUGAAAUGCGGAGGCUCAACCUCCGAGCUGCACUUAAAACUGCUGUUCUUGAGUGAAGUAGAGGCUGGCGGAAUUCCCAGUGUAGCGGUGAAAUGCGUAGAUAUUGGGAGGAACAUCAGUGGCGAAGGCGGCCAGCUGGGCUUUUACUGACGCUGAGGCUCGAAAGCGUGGGGAGCAAA